GGUCACGAGAUUCAGCGCCAAGCCCCGGCUCGCUGGACGGCAACCCUCCCUCGCGGCGGGGUGCUCCGGGUGAUGACCUGGUGACGACCAGCGCCGGUCCGUCGCAAGCGCGAGGC
RNAcentral lists this non-coding RNA (116 nucleotides) under Luteipulveratus mongoliensis. RNAcentral describes it as "SAM-IV sequence". It matches the Rfam family "SAM (S-adenosyl methionine) riboswitch aptamer". Rfam says of the family: SAM-IV is a mRNA element that regulates gene expression via direct sensing of S-adenosylmethionine (SAM or AdoMet). SAM-IV riboswitches share conserved nucleotide positions with the previously described SAM-I riboswitches sequence analysis and molecular recognition experiments suggest that SAM-I and SAM-IV riboswitches share similar ligand binding sites, but have different scaffolds. The record is from Rfam by way of RNAcentral. Lineage: Bacteria; Bacillati; Actinomycetota; Actinomycetes; Micrococcales; Dermacoccaceae.